Molecule: ribosomal RNA, 403 nt
Filed under: Verrucomicrobiota bacterium
Lineage: Bacteria; Pseudomonadati; Verrucomicrobiota
Description: Verrucomicrobia bacterium partial 16S ribosomal RNA
Rfam family: Bacterial small subunit ribosomal RNA
Source: RNAcentral
UGGGGAAUAUUGCACAAUGGGCGCAAGCCUGAUGCAGCAACGCCGCGUGAACGAUGAAGGUCUUCGGAUCGUAAAGUUCUGUUGCAGGGGAAGAUAAUGACGGUACUCUGUGAGGAAGCCCCGGCUAACUACGUGCCAGCAGCCGCGGUAAUACGUAGGGGGCUAGCGUUAUCCGGAUUUACUGGGCGUAAAGGGUGCGUAGGUGGUCCUUCAAGUCGGUGGUUAAAGGCUACGGCUCAACCGUAGUAAGCCGCCGAAACUGGAGGACUUGAGUGCAGGAGAGGAAAGUGGAAUUCCCAGUGUAGCGGUGAAAUGCGUAGAUAUUGGGAGGAACACCAGUAGCGAAGGCGGCUUUCUGGACUGCGACUGACACUGAGGCACGAAAGCGUGGGUAGCAAACAGG